GUACAAGCCCAAUCUGAACCCUUCCCAAACCCAUUACAAGACAACCCACUAGCCUAACCCAAUCAGCCCAAUUGGCAGAGCCCAAACGGCCCAAUAAGCCCAACCGGCCCCAAACCCAGUCAGACUAGGGCAGAAACCCUAGCCCCCUGUUGUGCCGCACCUGCUCCUGGCCGCCUCACCUGCCCUCUGUUCACAGCCGUCCCAUAGCCAUCUCUCCUCCACCUGCUCCCAUCACCUCCUUGAACACCUGCAAACAUGACGGAAGCAGCAACAGAAACAGAAACGCAGCAAACAGUAACAAAACAACAAUAGGACUUGGUAUAAUCGGCUAUAAAGAGCCAUUCAUUUUCAAUGUAAAAGGGGGGGGUUGGGCCUCGAUUUUUAUAAAAAGAACAGAAAGAAAAAGGUUGAACAUUUUUU
RNAcentral lists this long non-coding RNA (420 nucleotides) under Gossypium barbadense (sea-island cotton). Its description in RNAcentral is "long non-coding RNA (GBAR_LNC021473)". The record is from RNAcentral. Lineage: Eukaryota; Viridiplantae; Streptophyta; Magnoliopsida; Malvales; Malvaceae.